Molecule: ribosomal RNA, 223 nt
Filed under: uncultured bacterium
Lineage: Bacteria
Description: partial 16S ribosomal RNA
Rfam family: Bacterial small subunit ribosomal RNA
Source: RNAcentral
ACGCUCGACACCUACGGNGNGCAGCAGUAGGGAAUCUUCCACAAUGGACGCAAGUCUGAUGGAGCAACGCCGCGUGAGUGAAGAAGGUUUUCGGAUCGUAAAGCUCUGUUGUUGGUGAAGAAGGAUAGAGGUAGUAACUGGCCUUUAUUUGACGGUAAUCAACCAGAAAGUCACGGCUAACUACGUGCCAACAGCCGCGGUAAUCUGAGCGGGCUGGCAAGGC